GCCUCGGUGGUGUAAUAGAAAGCACGGCAGACCGGAAUAUCUGUAAGUGCGGGUUCGAGUCCCGCCUGAGGUU
RNAcentral lists this transfer RNA (73 nucleotides) under Dictyocaulus viviparus (bovine lungworm). It matches the Rfam family "tRNA". Rfam says of the family: Transfer RNA (tRNA) molecules are approximately 80 nucleotides in length. Their secondary structure includes four short double-helical elements and three loops (D, anti-codon, and T loops). Further hydrogen bonds mediate the characteristic L-shaped molecular structure. tRNAs have two regions of fundamental functional importance: the anti-codon, which is responsible for specific mRNA codon recognition, and the 3' end, to which the tRNAs corresponding amino acid is attached (by aminoacyl-tRNA synthetases). tRNAs cope with the degeneracy of the genetic code in two manners: having more than one tRNA (with a specific anti-codon) for a particular amino acid; and 'wobble' base-pairing, i.e. permitting non-standard base-pairing at the 3rd anti-codon position. The record is from Rfam by way of RNAcentral. Lineage: Eukaryota; Metazoa; Nematoda; Chromadorea; Rhabditida; Metastrongylidae.